RNAcentral lists this ribosomal RNA (253 nucleotides) under uncultured bacterium. RNAcentral's name for it is "partial 16S ribosomal RNA". It matches the Rfam family "Bacterial small subunit ribosomal RNA", at positions 524 to 776 of the family's 1533-position model. The record is from RNAcentral.
UACGGAGGGUGCGAGCGUUGUUCGGAAUCAUUGGGCGUAAAGCGCGUGUAGGCGGCUUGGCAAGUCGGUUGUGAAAUCCCGGGGCCCAACCCCGGAACUGCAAUCGAAACUGCCUCGCUAGAGUCCCGGAGAGGAAGGCGGAAUUCCCGGUGUAGAGGUGAAAUUCGUAGAUAUCGGGAGGAACACCAGUGGCGAAGGCGGCCUUCUGGACGGUGACUGACGCUCAGACGCGAAAGCGUGGGGAGCAAACAGG